AAUGGAAUGGCCGAAUUUAAGCGAUAAAUUGUAAAUUUAUUUAUGAUUAUUUAAUCUUCCAUUA
This 64-nucleotide transfer RNA is filed under the name Acantholachesilla sp. AcspLA. Its description in RNAcentral is "tRNA-Tyr". Lineage: Eukaryota; Metazoa; Arthropoda; Insecta; Psocodea; Lachesillidae. The record is from RNAcentral.